Molecule: ribosomal RNA, 407 nt
Filed under: uncultured bacterium
Lineage: Bacteria
Description: partial 16S ribosomal RNA
Rfam family: Bacterial small subunit ribosomal RNA
Source: RNAcentral
AUUGAACGCUGGCGGCAGGCCUAACACAUGCAAGUCGAGCGGAGCGGCGGACGGGUGAGUAAUGCCUAGGAAUCUGCCUGGUAGUGGGGGAUAAAGUCCGGAAACGGGCGCUAAUACCGCAUACUAUCAGAAUAGCCUAGGUCGGAUUAGCUAGUUGGUGGGGUAAAGGCCUACAAAGGCGACGAUCCGUAACUGGUCUGAGAGGAUGAUCAGUCACACUGGAACUGAGACACGGUCCAGACUCCUACGGGAGGCAGCAGUGGGGAAUAUUGGACAAUGGGCGAAAGCCUGAUCCAGCCAUGCCGCGUGUGUGAAGAAGGUCUUCGGAUUGUAAAGCACUUUAAGUUGGGAGGCGUUACCGACAGAAGAAGCACCGGCUAACUCCGUGCCAGCAGCCGCGGUAAUUC